Molecule: ribosomal RNA, 627 nt
Filed under: Ustilago shanxiensis
Lineage: Eukaryota; Fungi; Basidiomycota; Ustilaginomycetes; Ustilaginales; Ustilaginaceae
Description: eukaryotic LSU rRNA
Rfam family: Eukaryotic large subunit ribosomal RNA
Source: RNAcentral
CAGCAAGGGGAUUCCCCUAGUACGGCGAGUGAAGAGGGAAAGGAGCCCAAGAUUCGAAAGCUGGCGUCUUCGGCGUCCGCAUUGUAAUCUCAAGAAGUGUUUUCCGCUUCGGACCAUGCCUAAGUCCCUUGGAAAAGGGCAUCAUAGAGGGUGAUAAUCCCGUACAUGGCAUGGAGCGCCCGAAGCUUUGUGAUACGCUUUCUAAGAGUCGAGUUGUUUGGGAAUGCAGCUCAAAAUGGGUGGUAAAUGCCAUCUAAGGCUAAAUAUUGGGGAGAGACCGAUAGCGAACAAGUACAGUGAUGGAAAGAUGAAAAGAACUUUGAAAAGAGAGUUAAACAGUACGUGAAAUUGCCAAAAGGGAAGGGUAGGAGGUCAGAGAUGCGUUCUGGGAUUCAGCCUUGCUUUUGCUUGGUGUUUUUCCCAGUUUGCAGGCCAACGUCGGUUUUGGGCGCUGGAGAAGGGUGGAAGGAAUGUGGCACCCCUCGGGGUGUGUUAUAGCCUUCUACUGGAUACAGUGACCGAGACCGAGGACAGCAGCGUACUCGCAAGAGCGGGCCUUCGGGCACCUUUACGCUUAGGGCGUUGGCAUAAUGGCCCUCUACCACCCGUCUGAAAAAAAACGGACCA